UCCGGUUGAUCCUGCCAGAGGUUACUGCUAUCGAGAUUCGACUAAGCCAUGCGAGUUGAAUGUUCUUCGGAACAUGGCGGACUGCUCAGUAACACGUGGACAACCUACCCUUGGGUCCGGCAUAAUCCUGGGAAACUGGGAAUAAUUCCGGAUAGGUCACCGAUGCUGGAAUGCGCGGUGGCCGAAAGCUCCGGCGCCCGAGGAUGGGUCUGCGGCCUAUCAGGUUGUAGUGGGUGUAACGUACCUACUAGCCUACGACGGGUACGGGUUGUGAGAGCAAGAGCCCGGAGAUGGAUUCUGAGACACGAAUCCAGGCCCUACGGGGUGCAGCAGGCGCGAAAACUUUACAAUGCGGGAAACCGUGAUAAGGGGAUCUCGAGUGCCAGCAUAUAAUGUUGGCUGUCCAGAUGCCUAAAAAGCAUUGUUAGCAAGGGCCGGGCAAGACCGGUGCCAGCCGCCGCGGUAACACCGGCGGCCCGAGUGGUAACCGCUAUUAUUGGGUCUAAAGGGUCUGUAGCCGGCCAGGUAAGUCCCUUGGGAAAUCUGGCAGCUCAACUGUCAGGCUGCUAGGGGAUACUGUUUGGCUUGNGACCGGGAGAGGUGAGAGGUACCUUGGGGGUAGGGGGAAAAUUUUGGAUUCUGGAGGAAACACCAGGGGGAAAGGGUUUUAACCCGAAAGGGUCCGACGGUAAGGGGAGAAAAUUUAGGGGCCGAACCGGGUUAGUUACCCGGGUAGUUCCUAGCGGAAACGAUGCUCGUUAGGGUUCAGUCCGGGUGGGACCGUAAUUGUGCCCGUAGGGAAGCCGUGAAGCGAGCCACUGGGGAAGUAUGGCCGAAGGGGUGAAAUUUAAAGGAAUUGGGGGGGGAGCAUUACAACGGGUGGAGCCUGCGGUUUAAUUGGAUUCAACGCCGGAAAUCUCACCGGGGGCGACAGCGAUAUGAAGGUCAGGCUGAAGACUUUACCGGAUUAGCUGAGAGGUGGUGCAUGGCCGUCGUCAGUUCGUACUGUGAAGCAUCCUGUUAAGUCAGGCAACGAGCGAGACCCACAUCCACAGUUGCCAGCAUAUUCUCCGGAAUGAUGGGUACACUGUGGAGACCGCCGCUGCUAAAGCGGAGGAAGGAGUGGGCAACGGUAGGUCAGUAUGCCCCGAAUCUCCCGGGCUACACGCGGGCUACAAUGGUUGGUACAAUGGGCAUCUACCCCGAAAGGGGAAGGAAAUCUCUUAAAACCAAUCGUAGUUCGGAUUGAGGGCUGCAACUCGCCCUCAUGAAGCUGGAAUCCGUAGUAAUCGCGUUUCAACAGAACGCGGUGAAUACGUCCCUGCUCCUUGCACACACCGCCCGUCAAACCACCCGAGUAGGGUCUGGAUGAGGGUGUGUUUUAUUGUCACAUUCGAAUCUGGGCUUUGCAAGGGGGGUU
RNAcentral lists this ribosomal RNA (1420 nucleotides) under uncultured Methanosaeta sp. RNAcentral describes it as "bacterial SSU rRNA". It matches the Rfam family "Archaeal small subunit ribosomal RNA". Lineage: Archaea; Methanobacteriati; Methanobacteriota; Methanomicrobia; Methanotrichales; Methanotrichaceae. The record is from RNAcentral.